Molecule: ribosomal RNA, 431 nt
Filed under: uncultured eukaryote
Lineage: Eukaryota
Description: bacterial SSU rRNA
Rfam family: Eukaryotic small subunit ribosomal RNA
Source: RNAcentral
UCACCAGGUCAGGACACGGUAAGGAUUGACGGACUGAAGGCUCUUUCUCGAUUCCGUGGAAAGUGGUGCAUGGCCGUUUUGGUUGGUGGAUCGAUCCGUCUGGUUAAUUCCGUUAACGAACGAGACCUCGGCACUCCGAAUAGCGCGGCGGACGUCGCGGCCUCCGGGCCGUCUUCCGCACGAGCUUCUUAGAGGGACCGUCCCCCGCCGGGGAAGGAGGUGCGAGGCAACGACAGGUCUGUGAUGCCCUUAGAUGUUCUGGGCCGCACGCGCAUUACACUGACGCGUCCAACGGGUGACUCCCGACCCGAAGGGGCCGGGGAAUCCGCAAGGCGCGUCGUGAUGGGGAUUGAACGUUGCAAUUGUUGUUCACGAACGAGGAAUUCCUAGUAGGCGCGGGUCAUCAACCCGCGCCGAUUACGUCCCUGCCC